CGGCAGCACGGGAGCAAUCCUGGUGGCGAGUGGCGAACGGGUGAGUAAUACAUCGGAACGUGUCCUGUAGUGGGGGAUAGCCCGGCGAAAGCCGGAUUAAUACCGCAUACGCUCUACGGAGGAAAGGGGGGGAUCUUAGGACCUCUCGCUACAGGGGCGGCCGAUGGCAGAUUAGCUAGUUGGUGGGGUAAAGGCCUACCAAGGCGACGAUCUGUAGCUGGUCUGAGAGGACGACCAGCCACACUGGGACUGAGACACGGCCCAGACUCCUACGGGAGGCAGCAGUGGGGAAUUUUGGACAAUGGGCGCAAGCCUGAUCCAGCAAUGCCGCGUGUGUGAAGAAGGCCUUCGGGUUGUAAAGCACUUUUGUCCGGAAAGAAAACUUCCUGGUUAAUACCCGGGGAGGAUGACGGUACCGGAAGAAUAAGCACCGGCUAACUACGUGCCAGCAGCCGCGGUAAUACGUAGGGUGCAAGCGUUAAUCGGAAUUACUGGGCGUAAAGCGUGCGCAGGCGGUCCGCUAAGACAGAUGUGAAAUCCCCGGGCUUAACCUGGGAACUGCAUUUGUGACUGGCGGGCUAGAGUAUGGCAGAGGGGGGUAGAAUUCCACGUGUAGCAGUGAAACGCGUAGAGAUGUGGAGGAAUACCGAUGGCGAAGGCAGCCCCCUGGGCCAAUACUGACGCUCAUGCACGAAAGCGUG
Molecule: ribosomal RNA, 701 nt
Filed under: uncultured Burkholderia sp.
Lineage: Bacteria; Pseudomonadati; Pseudomonadota; Betaproteobacteria; Burkholderiales; Burkholderiaceae
Description: bacterial SSU rRNA
Rfam family: Bacterial small subunit ribosomal RNA
Source: RNAcentral